UACGUAGGGGGGCUAGCGUUGUCCGGAUUUAUUGGGCGUAAAGAGCGUGUAGGCGGCCAAGUAGGUCUGGUGUGAAAACUCGAGGCUUAACCUCGAGAUGUCAUCGGAAACCAUUUGGCUAGAGUCCGGAAGAGGAAAGUGGAAUUCCUGGUUUAGCGGUGAAAUGCGCAGAUAUCAGGAAGAACACCAAUGGCGAAAGCAGCUUUCUGGGACGGUACUGACGCUGAGACGCGAAAGCGUGGGGAGCGAACAGG
This 254-nucleotide ribosomal RNA is filed under the name uncultured bacterium. RNAcentral describes it as "partial 16S ribosomal RNA". It matches the Rfam family "Bacterial small subunit ribosomal RNA", at positions 524 to 776 of the family's 1533-position model. The record is from RNAcentral.